Molecule: long non-coding RNA, 5837 nt
Organism: Cannabis sativa
Lineage: Eukaryota; Viridiplantae; Streptophyta; Magnoliopsida; Rosales; Cannabaceae
Exons: 3
Source: RefSeq, a predicted model, not a curated record
CCCUAAAGCCCCAAACUCAACCUUUUCCCUCAUAUCUCUCUGCGUCCUUUCAAAAAAAAAAAGAAUAUCUCUGCGCUCCUCCAGACUGACGACAACCCUUCACUGUCCAACCUUUCACCAGACCGACGACGAACCCCAUGAAACCUCGCUGCUCCCUCUCCACCCUAUUGCCCAAGUUUUGGGCUCUUUCGUCUCCCAUCCUCACAACAAUCGCAUCACCGGGAUCUUCAACGACCAGCGACAGUCAUUCUCUCAGCCUCACAGCGGCCGCAUCAAACCAUCUCUCGACCUCUCUCUCUCUCUUUCACAGUCUCAACAACUCCUUCUAGUCAUCUUUCUCUUGGUAACACUGACCUGCAAAUUUUAAUCUCACUAUUACAGAUAUCAAUAAAUGAUGAAAUUAACCAACUCUUUCUCCUGUUCUCUCUCUGCAAUGCACGACAGUGCUACUCCGGUCACUGUAGGCAAAAAUGGAAGUUGUGGGUGGGUCUCGUCGAGUUCUGAAGGCCAAUACCCUUGAGCCACGAAGCCACCACCAUUGUUCCACCUCCGUAAAGAAGUGCACUAGAGCUGCGUGUGCACGCCCGAUUGCUUCUGUGAAGAAGCGCCUUGAGCUGAUCUAAAAAUUCUAUGGAAAUUUAAGUAUUUGUUUUUCUAUUUUGAUUAUGUAUCUAUAUAUUUUUUUUAUUGUUGUUUUAAUUAUAAUUUUACAAAAUGGUUUGAGGUACCUAAAUAAAUUAUUAAUUUUUGUGUAUGUAUUUUUUCUAAAAAUAAAAUUAUAAAAGUUAUUUUGAGAAAAUUAUAUUAUUUUUUUUAGAAAGAUAUUUAAUAUGGCACUUUUUGUUUGUCACUAUACCUCUAAAAAUAAUAAUAAAGAAUAAAAAAAAAGAUAUAGUGACACUUUUUGUAUGUAGCUGUUACUUUUUCAGUCUGACAAAAUUUGACUUUAAAUGCCUAUAGUGACACGCAGUGAGUGACUGUAAAAGGGUUAAGUGACACGCGUGAAGUGUCACUAAAAAUUGUCUUUUCCAGUCACUCACAUUAGUGACGCGUGGUGAAGUGUCACUAAAUAAUUUUAGAGUCACUCAAUGUGUAUCACUGAAACCCAUUUUUCUAGUAUCGAAAGGCAUCGCUACGAAUCGCUAGUAGUUGUAAAAUUUCAUUCUCUCCUUCACCAAACACUAUUUCUAAAACUAUCAUCACAUAUUAUGAACAAUAUCACGAGACAUUGCAAAAAUUGUAAAUGGGUAACAAUCUUUCCUAGUGUUGUAAGUUUCAUCGCAACAUGUCACUACAUGACGUUAAAAGUCAUUCCUAACCUUCACUACCAACUAAUAUCGCUAUAUAUCGAUAAUGACGUCGCUGAAAAUGGCAAAAACUUGAAAAAAAAAACUAAAAAAUGUAGAAACCGAGUAGUUUAAAUUUCAGCAACAAAACAACUAAAAUAAAAAAAAUGACAUGUGUAGAUCUAUUCAUAUCAACCUAAAUACAAAUAAAUACAACUAAAUCUAAUAAUAAUUACCAAAUAAAUUACAUGUCUAUUAUUUUUUUCAAAAAUUAUGUUGGUAAGAGAGUUUGGGUUGCUCUUACACACUUGGUUGUCAAGUAAAAUUGAUGGACUUCAGCAUAGAGUGCUCCGAAAUUCGAUCUGGCAAGGGUGUGUGUGUGUGACUCUGUAGAGAGAGAGAGGAAAGAUAGGAGAAGGGGUUUAAUUUUAUUAUUUGAAGAGGUAAAUAUUAUACUAAAAAAUAGAUGUAAUUAACAUAUUUGUCUAAUGUUUAAGAGGGUAGAAUAUAAUAACAAUCAAGCAUGCAUAGUUUUAGGAAGGCAACAAACUCAUAACAUAUUGAUCGUACAUCCAAAUCAGCAAUAUUGAUAAACACUAAAACAAAUAAGGCCACAUUUAAGGUGUACAAAAGACACAUUUACUCGGCAAUAAAACAAACAAGUUAAUUAAUAAUCCAUCAUUAUAGAAAUGCUAAUUAAUUAAGGGACACUCUAAGGUACGAAGCAACACUGCUAACUACUCACAACAUGGUACAUCAAUAAAGUAUUGGGUAGCUUAAAAUGUUUAAUAAAAAUUCUGUUCAUAUAAUAAGCCUGUAUAAUUUUGUGUUUUUAAGUAGUUUAUUGGGUCCCUCCUUGAUCAACUCCCAGGCGGUAAUGACAUGUCACUCUUCCGUAAGAGUGGUUCCAUUCCCACAGAAAAUCUCAACACAUAUAUCCCACCCACUAUAGUAUGCGACACAUAAAUCUUUCCAGACGAGUUUACCCAAUGUAGAAGCCUUCGGUUCAACAACUCGAUAUAACCAGCUGAAUUAUCAUCCGGAUUAGGGUUUAGUCUAAAACACACCAGCCCGAACAACUGCAUGUCUUGGCACCACGACCUCAAAUCUUGAACGGGAUCGAACGAGCUGACUCACUGAGUAUGAACCCCCACAAGAUGUAUAAAUAUUAAUUUCUAAAAAAACGUCUUGCUAAAUAUUUAAAUUAAAAAUUAGUUGUUUUAAGAAAAUAGUUAAUUAAUUGUAAUUAGUUUAAUUCUAAAAAAUAAUCUUUACCUAUUGACAACCUACUAUUACAGGUAAAAAAAAAUAUAACCAUUAUAAUAAAAAUGUAACCAUUGAGUAGUCACCCUAUAUUAUAUAUAUAUAAAGAUAAAUUAGAUAAAAAUAAGGGAAAUUUACACCCUAUAUUGUAAUUAUCAAUUUAUUUCUUUUUAUACUAUUACACGGUACAAUUAACUUUUAUACUAUAUAUGUUUUAUAUUAUUUUUCUUGUAUUUAUUUGAAAACUUUAAUUUUUUACUAUCUUCAGUAAUCACAUCAGUGACAUUGAGUCUUUUUUUUUUCUAAGCUAAAUUCACGUUACCCCAUGCCAAAUCCAUUUAUCUUCUUCAUCUUUAAAAUAUAGUCACAUGCUAGCGUUUCUGAUAUAAUUUUUUUUUUUAUAAAAACUAAUGAUGAAAGUGAUAGGUUGUCUUGUCUCUUGUGACAAUUUUUUUUUAUUAAACUAAUGAUGAAAUGAAAGUGAUGGAUUGUCUUGUCACUUGUGACAAUUUUUUUUAUUAAAACUAAUGAUGAAAUUCUUAAAAAAAUUUCUCCUACACAUUUUUUUCAAAUAAAAGUUUCUCUUCUCUCUCAAUACCCCUCUUCUUUUGUAAUAGGCAUCGAAAAAAUAAAAAUAUGAGUAUGUGAAGGAGGAAGAAGAAGAAGAAGAAGAAUAGAAUUGGGAAAGAUAAGAAUUUUGUUCUCCCUCCAACUUACUCUCUAAAAUUCAACAAUUUCAGCUCUAUCUACUCUUCUCUCUCAAUACCCUUUUCUCUCUUCUCUCUCUCAUCAUCCUUCCCCUUUUCUUCUCUCUCUCUCUCUCUCUCUCUCUCUCUCUCUCUCUCUCUCUCUCUCUCUAUCACACACACACACACACAUCAUUCUCGGCAAUAUGUAGUUUUCCUAUAUUCAUGUUCUUUAGUUCUUCAUGUCGUUUCUGUUGAAUUAUUUAGGAUUAAAUAUAUAUAUUUAUGUUACUGGUUUGUUUUGUUAUUGUUUUAAGGUUGUUUUAUUUCAUUUAUUUAUCACAUUUUCUAAAUAUUAUUGUAGUGCUCUAUUUUUAAUAGAAAUAGAAAAAUAAUGAAAUUUGUAUGCAAGCUAUUUUCUUCAGUAUCCUAUGCUCCAAUAUAUGUUCAGUUUUCCUCCAUUGUUCCACUGUUAUUUUUUAGUUGUUCUGAUUCUUUUUAUUUUUGACGCCUUCUCUUGCAUGUUCUCUUAUUGUGUCUCAGCUCCCACAUUUGUUGUAUUUGUUAUGUUGUUUCUUUUUUCAGCCAGCUUUGAUCCUCUUUUUUUUUUGUUUGGUCUUCGGCCAAAUUUUAAUCAUUCAAGGGGAGGUAAGACUAUUACAUCUUUCACAUUUUGUGCUACAUCCUACUCAUUUUAGUGUCCGUACACUGUUCCUUAAUAAGUUGCUAGCCAAUUUUUCUUGGUGUAGUAAUCUGAACAGAGCUUGUGUAGUAACAGGUUGCACGUGUGUGUUCUCUCUUUGAGGUCUAUUGUCCAAGAUUAUUUCAUUCUAAUUAGCUUAAACAAAUAUUCAGUGGUUGGCUUAACCUGUGUAAUUUAAAACCAACAUUUGUUAAACAUACGAGACAAAAGUGGAAUAACCCAAAAACAACAUUAGAAAAACCAUGACAACCUAGUAUUAAUGAUUUUAAUCACUACUACAAAACAAGCCUUUAGAGGCGCUUUUUUCAACAUAAUAAUAAAUAACCGACGACAUAGGGUUGAAAAUUUGUAGAAGAGAAUUUUAUGCCACGCCAUAGGGUGUGCCCCCUAUGCCGUCAGUUAUUUCCAAAUAACCGACGCCGAAAGGGUUUAUAACCCUAGCCCAGCCCUUCGUCCUCCUCAUUCCAUCAGCCAACCCAGAAACCCCCAAACCAGAGAAACCCCAAACCCUCUCCGUCAACCACCAUAAAAAAUCACCCCCAUUUCACCAUUUUUUUCACCAUUUUAGCUCAUUUUUGUUUCUAAAUCUUCUAUUUUUCAUACCUAAAACUAUAUACCUGAAAAGAUCAUAUUUUUCCUCAUUUUUUAGGGUAAACCGAAGGUAGAGGUAGUGGUUGUGGUGGUUAUACCUCCGGCCACCGUUUUUAGUGGAGAAAAUAUUGUAUCUCAACGUCUAUUAAGAUUGUGAGGUCAAUUUGCAAGGAUUUGACUUAUUUGGUGUUGAUCGGUUUUUAAGUAGCUCGAGGAUUUUAUCGGAAGUGACUUUGUCGGAAGUCAAGUACAUAAUUUUUGGUACAAGGUAUGCUUUCUUUAACUUACUUUUAUAAAAAUAUUUUUUUAUAUAUUUAGAUAAUCCUUAAAUACUUAGAGUAAUUUUAGAAUAAUAUUGAUGUAAUACAUAUGAUAGAUAUUGUUGAGUGCUAAGGAUAGAUAUAGUAGGCUAAAAAAAAAAGAAAUACAAAAAAUGGUCUAUUGGGAUUUGAACUUGUGACCAAAAGGAUAGAUUGAUAAGUCUUUACCAAUAUACCAAAACACAAUCUUUAUAUAAAUUAGCUACUAUAUAUGAUUUUAUUUAAAUAUUAGAAGAGUUAUAAAAAGAAAUUAGUAUUGCACAUUUCAUUGUAGUAGAAUUAACAAAUACAUCAUAAACAUUGAUUCUAAUACUUAACAUUAGAAUUUUAUUAGUUUAUUUUAAGUAAAAUAGCAAAAUAAAACACAAAAAAUUGGGUGAAAGGGGUGCAUAACAUGAUUUUAGUAUACAAAAGAGCGUUUUUUGGACAAAAUAGUUGGUCAAACUGCCGCAGGCGUUUGGGAUGCGUAGAACGCGAAAAAAUAUCCAAGUUCAAAAAGAAAGGCAUCGCUCCAAACAGACAAUCGAAUCAAAAGUUAUUAAUGUUCAAAGUUUUCAAAAAAUUUCAUGCAAAGUUUAGCCCUUUCUCUAAUUUUUUCCAUUUAUUCUGGUCCUUAAAUUAUUGUUUCAUUUUAUUGGUCAUGAAAAAUUUAAAUGUAUAAAAAUAUAAAAUUACAUAAAAAUUAAAGUAUUACAUUAAUAUACUAAUUAUUAUACAAAACACAACUUAAAAAUUAUAAAAAUGAUACUAAUAUAGUAUAAAAAUACAAACACAUAAUGUAAAAUAUAAAAUAUUAAUAAAAAGAUAGCUAAUAUACAAACACUUAGAUUAAUGUAAAUGUGUAUUUAUUUAACUUUUCAAUUUAAUUUUUAUUUAUGCUUAUUAUAUAUAAUUUAUACUUAAUUUAAUUAUAUUAAUAAUAAAAUAAUAUAUAUAUAUAAAAAUUAUAAAAUUGUAAAGCUGAAAAAAAAAAACCAAGACCCUACGA